RNAcentral lists this non-coding RNA (20 nucleotides) under Mus musculus (house mouse). The record is from RNAcentral. Lineage: Eukaryota; Metazoa; Chordata; Mammalia; Rodentia; Muridae.
UCCAAAGGAUGGGAUGCAUG